GUCUAUGGCUGGGUGGAGGACUCUCAGUUAGACUGGACAGGCCUCUGGCUGGGUGGAGGACUCUCAGUUAGACUGGACAGGUCUCUGGCUGGUUGGCUGGGUGGAGGACUCUCAGUUAGACUGGACAGGUCUCUGGCUGGGUGGAGGACUCUCAGUUAGACUGGACAGGCAUCUGGCUGGGUGGAGGACUCUCAGUUAGACUGGACAGGCUGGGUGGAGGACUCUCAGUUAGACUGGACAGGCUGGGUGGAGGACUCUCAGUUAGACUGGACAGGUCUCUGGCUGGGUGGAGGACUCUCAGUUAGACUGGACAGGCCUCUGGCUGGGUGGAGGACUCUCAGUUAGACUGGACAGGUCUCUGGCUGGUUGGCUGGGUGGAGGACUCUCAGUUAGACUGGACAGGCCUCUGGCUGGGUGGAGGACUCUCAGUUAGACUGGACAGGCCUCUGGCUGGGUGGAGGACUCUCAGUUAGACUGGAC
Oncorhynchus tshawytscha (Chinook salmon) is the source of this 480-nucleotide long non-coding RNA. NCBI's taxonomy places the organism in Eukaryota, Metazoa, Chordata, Actinopteri, Salmoniformes, Salmonidae. The record is from Ensembl.